CUCGCUCGCUCGCUCAUUCUUUUUCGUUUUGUUCGCCCACUGCGCUUUUCUAUUCUCGUGCAAAUACGAGCUCUCUCUCCCUCCCUCCCUCUGUGUGUGUGUGUGUGCCCCUGCCCCUGCCUCUGCCCCUCUUUUCCCCUCUCCCUUGUAGCCGAGACUUGUGUGCACGCACACAAACAGGCGUGUGUAAGAGCCAAUCUUCUCCUCUCGGCACUCUUCAGCCGCCGCGCAGCUACAGAGUAAGUCGCCGUAUUCGACGAAACAGUUAGAGUAAGCUCUAGUCCGUGGCAGCCAUCUUGUUAGUAAAUAGUAGCAAACACCGCCGGCUCUGCAAAGCAGCCCGACACCCUUUCCUGAUUCGCUCUCGAUCUCCGUUCGGUGUUGUCGUCUUCUCUUAAAAGAUUUCUUUUCCCUUGUUGGGCGCAGAGACCAACCAUGGCGAACUCGAGCUUACUCCGCGUGGUGCUCGUGGCACUGCUGCUGCUCGGCUCCGUCACGGUGUCCGCUGGUGAUGGCCGCGGCACCCCCAUCGCCUUCCAGGCCGAGGUGUCGAAGAUGCUGGACAUACUCGUCAACUCCCUUUACACCAACCGCGCUGUUUUCUUGCGCGAGCUGAUAUCGAACGGCAGCGACGCACUUGACAAAAUUCGUGUGCUCUACCUCACCUCCCCUAAGGAGCCGCUCACGAAGGAUGGCGAGGCCCCGACGAUGGACCUCCGCAUCUCCUUCGACAAGGAGAAGAGCGAGCUCAUUCUGCGCGACGGCGGUGUUGGCAUGACGAAGGAGGAACUGGCAAAGCAUCUCGGCUCCCUCGGCACCUCUGGCACCAAGCACUUUCUCGAGAAACUGCAGGAGGGUGUCGGCGCUGUUGGCGGCGACCAAAACAACCUGAUUGGCCAGUUUGGCGUCGGCUUUUACUCGGUCUUUCUCGUUGGCGACCGCGUGCGCGUCGCGUCCAAGAGCGACGACAGCGACGAGCAGUAUGUCUGGGAGUCUAAGGGGGAUGGACAGUACUUCCUCUACCCCGACCCGCGCGGCAACACGCUCGGCCGCGGUACUGAGAUCACCAUCGAGCUAAAGCCGGACGCUGAGCAGUUCCUGUCCGCUGAAACGAUAAAAAAGACGAUUCACCAGUACAGUGAGUUCAUCAACUUCCCCAUCUACGUCCAGGAGGAGGUGGAGGUGGCGAGCACGGCAGCGACGCCGGAGUCGGCCGCGGAGGAGAGGAGCCUCGACGAGGGUGCCGUGGAGGAGGACCCGGACAAGGAAGGGGACACGCAGGGCGUUGUAAAGGAGAAGCGCUGGACGCUGGUGAACGAGAACCGCCCGAUCUGGACCCGUCCGAUUGGCAACGUGACGGAGGAGGAGUACCACAAGUUCUACAAGGCCUUCUCCGGCGACUACCGUGACCCCUUGUACUUCAACCACUUCAAGGUCGAGGGAGAGGUGGAUUUCGACUCGAUCCUCUUCGUCCCCACCACCGUGGAUCCGGCGUCCUUCUCUGACGACAACGCUGUCCCGAACACGAACAUAAAGCUGUACGUGCGCCGCGUCUUCAUCACGGACGAGUUCCGCGACUUGCUGCCGCGCUACCUGAAUUUUGUCAAGGGCAUUGUGGACAGCAACGACUUGCCGCUGAACGUGUCGCGUGAGGUGCUGCAGGAGAGUCGUAUUCUGCGCGUGAUCAAGAAGAAACUUGUGCGUAAGACGCUGAGCAUGUUCGCCGACAUUGCAGCGCAGGACGAGGCGAUCGCGAACGGGAAGCAGGUGGAGAACCCGGCUCCGUCUGGACACACGCACCUCAAGAAGCCGGCCUACACCAAGUUCUGGGAGCUGUAUGGCAAGCAUCUCCGUCUCGGUGUCAUGCUGGACAGCAACAACCGCAAUCGCCUCACGAAGCUGUUCCGCUACAAGUCCAGUAGAAGUGAAAGCGAGUACAUCAGCCUCCAGACCUACGUGGACCGCAUGAAGAAAGGGCAGAAGGGCAUCUACUACCUCUCCGGCGACUCGGUGGCGCGGAUCAAGAAGUCCCCAGUGCUGGAGGACGCCGUCAACCACGAUGUUGAGGUGAUCUUCAUGACGGACGCCAUCGACGAGUACGUUGUGUCGCAGCUGACUGACUUUGCGGGCAAGAAGCUCAUCAACCUCGCGAAGGAGGGGGUGCAGUUCGAGGAGAGCGACGCGCGGCAGCGAGUGGUCGAUAGAAAGCGCAAGGAAAAGUACGAUUCCUUCUUUACUCAUCUGCGCGCGCUCUUCGGGUACUCGGAAGUGCGCAAGGUUAUCUUGACGAAGCGCAUGACGAAUGAGGCAUUCAUUGUGUCCUCCAGUGAGAACCAGAUCACGGCGCGCCUGGCCAGCAUCAUGCGCGGCCAGUCAAUGUCCCUCGCUAACCAGCAGCUGACUGCCGAGCGUGUGCUGGAGGUUAACUACCGCCACCCGCUGGUGGACGAGAUGUUCAAGCGCUUCACCGUGGACGAGGAUGACGAGGUGGCGACAGACAUUGCGUGGGUGCUGUACGAUACGGCAAACUUGCAGGCCGAGUUCCCGGUGGCGGACGUGGCGGCCUACUCGAAGCGCAUUAACCGUCUGCUCCGCAGCAGCGUUGACCUGAGCGCGGACGACUCGCUGCUGCCGCCGGACGACGCCGAGUACACCGUCUCCGACACGGAGACUGAGGAAGAGGAGGAGCAGCCGAAGGUUGACACCAAUGCGCACGAAGAAGCUGAAACAGACGGCGAGGGCGAUCUGUAACAGGCCAGUCACCCGACGCUGUCCCCCCCCCCUCCCCCUCCCCUUGGCGCACCUUGGCGUCUGGGUCACCUGACUAUCACCAUCGUCGCUGUUGCGAGCGCGCUCAUGGCGACCCGCCUCCCAGAGCGGCAACUACAACGAUAGCCGUCUACUCCUCCCCUCCCCCAAAAGACUUCCACCCUGCGAUAACGGAGAUGGCGCGGAUACUUCUUUCAUGUGAACAUAAAGUUACGCUGGGCUUCUUCUACUUGUGCGUCCUUUUCUCUUCCCCUCAGUCACGCAUUUGUGCGCGGUUUUUAUGGUUGGCAUUAUCAUUUUCGCUCUCCUUGUGUUUUCCUUCUGGUCGUUUACUUGUUUCGUGCCGACGCGUGUGCCAUGCGGGUGUGCGCGCGUUCGGCAUCUCUGCGUACCUCGAGAUGGUGCCGCCGCAUCUGGCUCAACUCCUCCUCUGCCGCCCUUCCUCCUCCCUUUUCCUCGCUCGUUCUCAACAGACUUUCGCAUGAGUGGCUUAUUUGCGAAGAGACUUCUUUUUUUUCUCUCUCUGUCCCAUCGCCGCCAUCCUGCCCAGCAGCCUCGUGUGAGUGGGGGUUCAGCCAUGCCAUCUGCUUUACUCGGUGCAUACUAGGUAGAGAGAGCCGGCAGAUAUUGGGGGGCAGCUGUGUUUUGCACUUACGCCGUGUGAGGGGCUGCACUGGGAAAGGUCGGUGGUGCCGUAUACAACGCAGAGGAGUGGCAGAGCUGAAUAAAGAGGUAUACAGAGGAAGAGGGAGGGCUGGGAGUCGGCCGAGGAGAUUGGGGGGAGUGCAGGUUCUUUGACGUUUACGGGCUUCUCGGUGGCGGUCUCUCUAGCGCUCUUCCUCACGUGCAGUAGAGGAGAGUAGAAGGGACAUCUCCACGGUAAGACACAUCAUGCACACAGCUGAGGCAUCCUGAAGAGGAGAGAGAUGGAACGGAAACACCACUCCCCACCUUUUUUGCACGUGAUGUGUGCGUCAAUGAUAUGAUCG
This 3758-nucleotide unclassified non-coding RNA is filed under the name Leishmania donovani. Its description in RNAcentral is "gene:LdHU3.29.1080(CDS-product:heat_shock_protein _90_putative)". The record is from RNAcentral. Lineage: Eukaryota; Euglenozoa; Kinetoplastea; Trypanosomatida; Trypanosomatidae.